AUGGAGCAUCAACUGAAUUCCUCCAAAGAAACUGAUCAGAUUGGUAAGAGCUGAAUUGGUAAGCAGACUCACAGCAAAACGACUAGCGGACUUCUGCCUCGAGACAGUCAUGUGUGCAUACAUACAUGCAUCCAUACAUGCAUACAUUCAUACAUUCAUACAUGCAUACAUUCAUACAUUCAUACAUUCAUUCAUACAUUUAUACAUACACAUUCAUGCAUAUUUGCUUUCAUGAUUUAUUGUUGUGGUCAUUGCUUGCUUAUUUAGUGACAUUAUUAACUUGUUCUUGUUUGUUUCUUGUGCUUAUUUUCAUUU
Molecule: long non-coding RNA, 315 nt
Filed under: Arabidopsis lyrata
Lineage: Eukaryota; Viridiplantae; Streptophyta; Magnoliopsida; Brassicales; Brassicaceae
Description: long non-coding RNA (ALYR_LNC001454)
Source: RNAcentral